RNAcentral lists this ribosomal RNA (363 nucleotides) under Triticum aestivum (bread wheat). RNAcentral describes it as "partial small subunit ribosomal RNA". Lineage: Eukaryota; Viridiplantae; Streptophyta; Magnoliopsida; Poales; Poaceae. The record is from RNAcentral.
AUGGGGGCGGAUGUGGAGGAAAGCCUCACACGCGACGAUAAACGUCGAGAUGUUGAGGACAAAGUUCGGGGCCAGAUCAUGAAAAUCCAGGCCAUAGUAGAACAUGAGCCCCCGGACAAAUGGGUGGAGAGGGAAGCCCAGUCCGCGGAGGAAAUGGGGGAGGAACAUCACCUUCUCAUGGAGCCUAGGGGUGGGGAUGAGCUGCCCCUUUUUGGGAAGCCGGUGCACGAUGUCGUUAGACAAGUAUCCGGCCUUCCUCAGUUUUUUGAUGUGUCCCUCCGUGACGGAGGAGACCAUCCACUUGCCUCCUGCUCCGGACAUGGCUGGAGAAGGUUAAGGUGGGAGUGCGGACUUGGGCGCUGA